RNAcentral lists this ribosomal RNA (279 nucleotides) under uncultured bacterium. Its description in RNAcentral is "partial 16S ribosomal RNA". It matches the Rfam family "Bacterial small subunit ribosomal RNA", at positions 506 to 784 of the family's 1533-position model. The record is from RNAcentral.
UGCCAGCCGCCGCGGUAAUACGGAGGUUCCUAGCGUUGUUCGGAAUUACUGGGCGUAAAGGGAGCGCAGGCGGACAGGUCAGUUUAAAGUGGAAUUCCAAGGCUCAACCUUGGACGUGCUUUGGAUACUGCCUGUCUUGAGUUCGUGAGAGGAAAGUGGAAUUCAGGGUGUAGCGGUGAAAUGCUUAGAUAUCCUGAGGAACACCAGUGGCGAAAGCGACUUUCUGGCACGUAACUGACGCUGAGGCUCGAAAGCAUGGGUAGCGAACGGGAUUAGAUA